UACGUAGGGACCAAGCGUUGUUCGGAUUUACUGGGCGUAAAGGGCGCGUAGGCGGCAAUUCAAGUCAUCUGUGAAAUCUCCGGGCUUAACUCGGAACGGUCAGAUGAUACUGCUUUGCUAGAGUGCGGAAGGGGCAAUCGGAAUUCUCGGUGUAGCGGUGAAAUGCGUAGAUAUCGAGAGGAACACCUGAGGUGAAGACGGGUUGCUGGGCCGACACUGACGCUGAGUGCGCGAAAGCCAGGGGAGCAAACGGG
RNAcentral lists this ribosomal RNA (254 nucleotides) under uncultured bacterium. Its description in RNAcentral is "partial 16S ribosomal RNA". It matches the Rfam family "Bacterial small subunit ribosomal RNA", at positions 524 to 776 of the family's 1533-position model. The record is from RNAcentral.